AAAAAGAGCAAUGGUGUGGAAUGACAACCCAACACUUGGGCAUGUCCAAGCACACAGCCAGGUGACCUGGAUGUGAACCCUCCGUGGAGUUAUUUUUAGGACCUGCCUGUAAUCGUGAAGGACAUAUAUAUUUAUGGAUCUCAAAACCAACUAUCUGCACAGUGGUGGAAGAAGCAGUCCAGUCCUUUAGCCAGGAAUGCAACAUCAUGUUUGUGCCCUGUGAACCUGAAGGGGACGACCUGUCUGACAGGAAGAGCUGAGUUGUUUCCUUUGACAAGAUGGCAGCUGACCCCACACCGCUUUAGGGAAAACAUGUAUGAUAGUCGGGAUCGCGUUUGUCUUUGAAGUUCUCAGAAUUGCAGGCAAACAAGGGAAACCUUUUUAAGUUUUGUGUUUCAGAACAGAAUUAACAUGGAAGAAUGCUGAGAGGAAUUCUAUUGUUACAUUCCUCUCAUCUCAAAUACUACCUACAACUGGAGAAGGUAAUAUACCAGAGGAACAAAUACCUGAAACCAGAACACAUGUUUAAAAGCUAUGUUUAAUUUGCUGUAUAUGGUGACAAAUAUGCGGACAUGUUUCGGUUUUUAUCCACCCUUAGAGCACGUAUGAGAAAACAUUUACCUGAGAUCACUUCCUCUACUGGAAAACAAAAGGAAACUACAGACCAAUAAAAGACAGAGAUGUUUAGGGCAGACUAACUAAAUACAGUGCUCCCACUGCAUUUUUAAAACUAUUUCUGUAAUGCUUUGCACAUAUAAAGGUGGUGAGAUAUGUUUUCUAUGCUGUCAGUUCCUCACUAGAUCUUACUGUUUUUGGAUAUUUUUAUCCGUGCAGAAUUAGCGGUUGUGGGUUUUGGUGUUUUGUGAUUUGAGGAGGAAUAGUUGCCUGCCAGAUGUCAUUGUUUCCUGCUGAUUGGUUCAAAUCAAGUGAUGUGUCUUUAACAAAAAGAGAGCUCACUGCUGUCAUGCAUGCUCUGAGGAAGACUUUAAGCCAAAAUAUGUCAAUAGACUGAAAAAAAAUCAUAAAAAGAUCAAAAUACAAGGUAAAGCUUAUUUUUAAAGCUAUGAAAUGUUGCCUUUUUUCAUAAUUUUUGUACAGCCAGGUCAUCAUAUGUGUUUGAUAUAGAAAAGUAUAAAUUUACGGAGAAUUUCAACAAAAUAAGCAUAUUAUCUUUACUUAAUUGAGUCAAGAACUGAGCAGCUUUGUGCAACAGACAUUUACCUGAAGUUUGGUAGGUUUACGAGAGCCUUUUCUCCCAAACAUUACUUUGUCAUAUAACUAAACAUCACACUCC
Molecule: long non-coding RNA, 1294 nt
Organism: Amphiprion ocellaris (clown anemonefish)
Lineage: Eukaryota; Metazoa; Chordata; Actinopteri; Pomacentridae
Source: Ensembl